GUGUUCCCAGGCUGGUCUCGAACUCCUGGCCUCAAGUGAUCCUCCUGCCUUGGCCUCCCAAAGUGCUGGGAUUACAGGUGUGAGCCACUGCGUCUAGCAUCCAUAAUAUUAGUCAUGUACAGACAGAAGGCAUGAUUGGCAUUUUAAAAAUUAGUUUUGUUAUUACUUUAUUUAUUCUGCUGGCAGUCUUUAUCCCAGCACUGAAUGGCUGGCAUUUUUAAUUUGAAACAAUGAAUUACAAACUGUAAUGAUAAAAUUAAUUUUAAAAACAAUAAAUUGGCAGAUAGUUCCCUCCAUCCUUCUGCACAUGUUCCACACUGCAGCCAGCCUGGGCCACUCACUACUUUCUGAAGGUAUCCUGGCUUUCUCUCUUCCAUGCCCAGGCUUUCCACCCCUCUCCUAGUCCACCCCCACCAACAUGUGAACAAGGAAGCUGCAAGGAUUCUUUCUGUUCUGUGUUUCAGAAUCUGUGAUACUAUAAACUCACACUCCAAUACCUCGGAGAUGGUUUACCUCAAAAGAUCAAAUCUACUUCAUAUUUAUAUUCAAUGAAUAAUUAGUGGAAGCUAAUUAUGUGAAGGUAUAACAAUAGAUAAAGUGCUAAGUGCUGCAGGGAAUACAAAAAUAUACCGCCAUAUGUGGCCUUAAGGAACUACCAUUCUCUCCCCUCCUUUGUUUUAUCAUCUAUUACUGUAUAGGAUCUUAGUCUCCCUACUGUUUUGCUCAAUGCCUUAUUGAUCAGAAAGUUUCUGAGGUCAAGGGAUUCUCUAUUGGAUUAACUCACUCUGCCAGUCCGUCUCUGCUGCUUUGCUACUGAGUUUCUGAUACAGAAUCAGACAAUAGGUAGGUCAGCUUUUGCCAAACUUAUUACCCAACAUUUUUCUUCUCUGAGGUUCUCACACAGCACAGCUAUUCUUGUCACUGCAGAGAUGGCUCUGAAUGACAGCUUCUCCCUAACCUCAUCACUCCAGCUACCACUAAGCAGGGACCUCUUUCCUUCCACAAAAUUUGCGCCAGGUCGGUGUGGUGACCCAGGCCUACAAUCCCAGCACUUUGGGAAGAGGAGGCGGGAAGAUCGCUUGAGCACAGGAGUCUGAAACCAGCCUGGGUAACAACGUGAGAUCCUGUCUCUACAAAAAAUAAAAACAGAAAAAAAAAAUUAGCCAAACAUGGUGGUGCAUGCCUGUAGUCCCAGCUACUGAGAGGCUGAGGCUGAGGCUGAGGUGGCUGCUUAAGCCCAGGAAGUUGUGGACGUAGUGAGCUAUAAUCAGGCCAUUACACUCCAGCCUGGGCGACAGAGCAAGACCCUGUCUCAAAACAAAAUCAACCAAUCAAACAAACAAAAAACCCCCAAAUUUACUCUACGUCCUUUUUGUUUUUCCUUUUCUUCCCCCGAAGGUGAACGCCUCCCUGAAAAUCAGUACUCAUUUAAGUUGUAUUAUUUGUAACUUUUUUUUUUUUUGACACAAGGUCACCUGUCACCAAGGCUGGAGUGCAGUGGUGCAAUGUCAGCUCACUGCAACCUCCGUCUCCUGGGCUGAAGUGAUCCUCCCACUUCAGCCUCCCAAGUGGCUGGGACUAUUCCUGGCUAAUUUUAGUAUUUUUAGUACAGACAGGGGUCUCAAGAUGUUGCCCAGGCUGGUCUCGAACUCCUGAGCUCAAGCAAUCCCCCAGCCUCAGCCUCCCAAAGUGCUGGGAUUGCAGGUGUGAGUUCUUUAUAGCAGUGUGAAAAUGGAGUAAUAACAAGGUAUUUAUGGACCUUAAAGCAGGAGUGUAAGGGUAAUUUUGACCACAUUCGUUACACAGGUCAUGGUAAACGAUUACAUUUGUACACAUUUUGGUGCCUUGACGUCAGCAAGGGUUGCCCAGUAACUUCUGACACACAUUCAUUCCGGAGAUGUAUAAAAAUUCUAGUUACUUACAUUAAAUACAUUUUUGGUAAAGAAGCCUAGUACAAGAUGCCGGCUUUAGAUAAUAGGGCAGUCUAAUGACUUCUGAAUUCCUCAGAUAAGGAGUUUUGCCUCCAGAUGGUCUGCUUGAUGGCCACCAGGUGAUCUUUGCUGUCCUCAAAAGUAUGUGAAAAUACCUGAAUUAAAUAUAAUUGUUUAUUAUCCACAAAGAAAUAUGGUCAAAUGGAACCAGCUUGAACCUGGGCAAAGAUCCAGGGCACUAGAUUUGCUUCCCGAGCUUCCCUGGGUUUGCUUUCUAGAUUAUACCUCGUUAGCCCAAAUAAUUACCCAGGACUAGGGGGAAAUGAGGGUGGCAGUGAAGUCUAGCGAUGAUGCCAAUACCCACAUCUGUCAAUACGGCAUUUCUUCAAGAGGCUUGCAAGUUGUUCAGCCCCAGGAGAAGAUACAAAAAAACACGGUACUCUCCUACAUCUCAGGAAUGAGGACAGAGGCUGUGAUGGAAGAGGUGGUGCGUUCAUAUAAGUUCUUUAAGACUCAGAAUGAUGAAAAUGCCAUAAGUAGCCUGUAAUUUUUCAUGGCAUUUGAUUUUUUUUACUCCAGUUAAAAAAUAAAAAAUAUUACAUGAGUAUUAUCUAGUCACAGUGAAAUUAAAUAUCAUUUUAUUGAAUAUUUGUUUUUGUGUAAGAGUUAUCAAUAAUUUCAAAUAUUACAGAGUUCAUGAAAAGAUGUCUAUUUCAACUUUCAGAAAACAUUUGUGGAAUGCCUGCCAUGUACCGGACGGUGGGGAAGUUCCCCGUUAACUCUCCCCUCAUGGUUCUCGUUGUUUCUCACUCCCUUCUUAGGUUGAAAUUAAGAUUUAAGAGCCUUUCUGUUAGAUUUUUAGAAAUUCAUUUAUUUGCAAAUUACAGUGAAAAAUUUCUCUUCCAGAUGCAUAUAAAUCCGAAGUUUUUAUCCUAGUGAAGCGUACAGAAUGCUAUUGUUAUGACAUUUAAGUAUCAUAACAUAAUGUAGCUAAUAAAGCUUUUUAAAAAUUAUGGUAAAGUGUAUGUGAAAUUUACCAUUAGUGACAUUGAGUACCUUCACCAUGUUGUGCAAUCAUCCCCAAUAAGUAGUUCCAGAACAUUUUCAUCACCCUAGAAGGAAACUCCUUUUUAGCAAUCUCUCCCCACUCCUUUCUCUCAGCUUCUUACAACCAUUUAUCUGCUUUCUGUCUCCAUGGAUUUGCCUAUUUUGGAUAUUUCAUAUAAAUGCACUCAUGCAAUACGUUGCCUUUUGUGUCUGCCUUCUUUCACUUGGCAAAAAUGCGCUCAAGGCUCAUCCAUGCUUUAGCAUGUAUCAGUCCCUCAUUUCUCUUUAUGGCUGAAUAUUCUAUUGUGCCGUGUGGAGAUACCACAAUUUGUUUAUUCAUUCAUCAGCUGAUGGCCAUUUGGGUUGUUUCCUCUUUUUUGGCUACUGUGACUAGUGCUGCAAUGAAUAUUUGCGUGAAAGUUUUUGCUUGAACACCUGUUUUCAGUUCUUUUCAGUAUAUGCCCAGGAGUGGACUUGCUGGGUCAUAUGGUAAUUCUUUUUUUUAACUUAUUGAGGAACUGCCAAACUGUUUUCCACAGUGGCUACACCAUUUAACAUUCCCACCAACAACGAAUGAAGGUUUUCAAUUUCUCCACAUCCUCUCUAACAUUUAUUUUCUCUAUUAUUCAUUUUUUUUCCUGUAGGUUUAGAUCCUAGGUCUAUUUCGUCAUUCUAAUAGGUGUGAAGUGGUAUCUUCUUGUGGCGCUGAUUUGCAUAAUGACUGAUGAGGUUGAGUGCUUUCCAUGUGCUUGUCGGCCAUUUGUAUAUCUUCAUUAGAGAAAUGUCUAUUUAAGUCCUUUGCCCAUUUUAAAAUUGGUUUGUCUUUUUGUUGUCGAGCAUCGGAGUUCCUUAUAUAUUCUAGGUAUUAGUUCCUUACCAGAUAUGUAAGAUUUACAAAUAUUUUCUCCCAUUCUGUGGGUUGUCUUUUCACUUUCUUCAUAGUGUCCCUUGAUAUGUAGAAGCUUUUAAUUUUGAUUUUUUUUUUUUUUUUUUUUUUUUGCUGUUGUUGCUUGUGCUUUUGGUGCCAUAUCUAAGAAACCAUUGCCAAAUCCAAGGUCAUGAAGAUUUAUUCCUGUAUUUUCUUCUCAAAGUUUUAUGGUUUUAGCUCUUACAUUUAGGUCUUUGAUCUAUUUUGAAUUAAUUUUUAUAUAUGGUAUGAAGUACAGGUACAAAUUCAUUCUUUUGCAUGUGAAUAUUCACUUGUCUUAGCACUAUUAGUUGAAGACACUGUUCUUUCUUCAUUGAAUGGUCCUGGAACCCUUGUCAAAAAUCAAUUGACCAUAGUGUAUUGGCGUAAUUUGUUUCUGGACUUUCCAUUCUACUCUAUUGCUUUAUAUAUUUUUAUACCAGCACAACACUGUUUUGAUUGAAGUAGCUUUGCAGUAAAUUUUGAAAUUGGAAAAUGUGAGUCCUUCAACUUUAUUCUUGUUCAAGAUUGUUUUGAACAGACUUGAGUACCUUCAGUAACUUGCAAUCCCAUAUAAAUUCUAGGGUCAGCUUUUCAGUUUCUGUAAAAGGGUCACUGGAAUUUUAAUGGGGAUUGUAUUAAAUCUAUAGACUAAUUUUGGGAGUAAUGCCAUCUUAACAAUGUUAAGUCUUCCAACCUGCCAGCACAGGAUGUCUUCCAUUUAUUUAGGUCUUCUUUAAUUUCUUUCAGCAACGUUUUGUACUUUUCAGUGUCCAAGUCUUGCACUUUCUUGGUCAAAUUUAUUUCUAAGUAUUUUAUUCUUUUUCAUGUUAUUGUAAAUGAAAUUGUUUUAAUUUCCCCUCAGGUUUUUCUUAGACUUUUGUGUGUUGAUCUUGCAACCUGCAACAUUGCUGAAUUUUUAAAAUCAGCCGGAAUCAUUUUGUGGAUUCUUUAGGAUUUUUAAUAUAUAGGACCAUGUUUUCUGCAAAUGUAGUUUUACUUCUUCCUAUUUGGGAUUCAUUUUAUUUCUUUUUCUUGCCUAAUUGCUCUGGCUAGACCUUCUAGUAUAAUGUUGAAUAGCAGUGGGGAAAUCAGGAAUUUUCAUGAUAUUAGGGGAAAAAUUUUCAAUGUUUUGCUAUUAUGUUGUUAGCUGUGGGUUUUUAUGGAUGUCUUUAUCAGGUUAAGAAAGUUCCCUUUUCUUCCUAGUUUGCAGAGUGUUUUUACCAUGAAAGGGUGUUGGAUUUUUGUCAAAUGCUUUUUCUUAUCAAUUGAGGUGAUCAUGCUGUUUUUUCCCCUUCAUUCUAUUAAUAUGGUAUAUUAUUACAUCGAUUGACAUUUGUAUGUAGAACCAUCCCUGCAUUUCUUUGAUAAAUCUCACUUGGUCAUGCUGUGUGAUCAUUUUAAUAAGCUGCUGGAUUUGGCCUGCUAGUAUUUUGAAGUUUUUUUGCAUCUAUAUUCAUAAGGGAUAUUGGUCUGUAGCUUCCCUGUGAGGUCUUUGUCUGGCUUUGGUGUUAAGGUAAUGUCCGCCUUAUAGAAUGUCACAGGGUGCUCCUUUCUCUUCCAUUUUUUGGGAGAGUUCGAGAAGGAUUAGUGUUAAUUCUUCUUUAUAUGUUUGGCAUAGUUUGCCAGUAAACUCAUUUAGUCCUGGACUUUCUUUGUUGGGAGAUUUUUGAUUACUGGUUCAAUCUCUUUACUUGUUACAGGUCUGUUUGGAUUUUUUAUUUCCUUUUGAGCCAGUUUUGUCAAUUGGUGUGUUUUUUCAUCGAGGUCAUCUAAAUUGUUGGCAACAAUGCUUCUAUGAAUAAAUUUGUUUAUAGUUAAGUUGCCUAAAAUACCAUGCAAUUCAUCUAAUAUGUAUAAAACUUGAAAUAUAUUAUAUUGCAUCUACUUUUCUAAAUCAAAACAUGUAAAAUUCCAUAAGAGAUUUAAACAAAAGUCUUCCCUAAAUACUAAGGAACCAAAAUUUUCUGAUUGGGUGUUACUGGUAAAUUUUAUUACUAUAGAGCAUAAACCCUCUUUUUUUUAUUAAAAUAAUUCCUCACAUAAAAUGAAAUCUUUUAUUUUUUUUUUAUUUAUUUUUUUUUGAUGGAGUCUCGCUCUGUCACCCAGGCUGGAGUGCAGUGGUGCGAUCUUGGCACACUGCAAGCUCCUCCUCCUGGGUUCACGCCAUUCUCCCGCCUCAGCCUCCCGAGUAGCUGGGCGUACAGGCACCCGCCACCACGCCUGGCUAAUUUUUUUUUAUUUUUUAUUUUUAGUAGAGACGGGGUUUCACUGUGUUAGCCAGGAUGGUCUCCAUCUCCUGACCUCGUGAUCCGCCCACCUCAGCCUCCCAAAGUGCUGGGAAUUAUAGGCGUGAGCCACUGUGCCCGGCCGAAAUCUUUCUUUUUCUACCUAGUGGCAGGAAUAGUAAGAGUGAAGACUGCUGAGUGAGAAGGUCUUUGUAUGAAUCCCUGCUCUGCCACUUACUUGCAAUAUAUAACCUUGGGGCUAACUUCUCUGUACCCCAAUUUCCUUAGCUAUAAAAAGGGAAUAGAACUACCUCAUAAGGUUGUUAUAAGGAUUAAGUGCAUUGAUGCAUACAAAAACUUUGAUUCCUAGUUCACAAUAAACAAUAUUAGCAAAUAUUAUUUUCCGUAAGGUGGUUAUUAACUGGGGUUAAAAUAAAAAGCAUCUUAGACAUCUCAAUGACUUAUAUCUUAUAGGAUUUAUCACAAAAUGUUACUGCCCAGUGCAUUUUUGCAAACAAUAACAAUUCACUGAGAGUAAUAACAUUCACAUAUGUAAUUAGAGUUUAAAAAUGUAAAAAACUUAGGGUAACAAACACUUUAAACUUAUUUUUUAGACAUUCAAUAAGCCCAUUCUCCCACAAACUGUUUGAUUACAAAGAAGCACAAUGGGUUAACUGUGGCAAAACAUAAGAAAUAAGGCAGGGGAGGCAGAUACAGACUUGAGAACAUAAGGAUAUCCAAACAAUUUUGUCAAUAUCAAAAGACAAAAUCAAAACAUCUUUUAUAAUAUAAAACAAAUCCAUAUAAUUAAAUACUAAUUAGGUGAAAGAUUAUAGGGUAUAUAACAUUUAUUUUCUCUACAUAAAUUUGCAUAUCUUAAAUUUAAUGCAAAACAUCAUGUUUCAACUUCAACUUAACAUCAUAACAUGUAGUUCUUGGUGAGUCUAGAUGUAAUGGAAUGAAUAUUUAAAUAGACUUCAAAGAUCCUAUCAAGUUUUUAUUUGGUUAUUGUUGCUUUAAGUCCUUAAUGCUUUUCUUUAUUUAUUGGACUAAGCCAAUUUUAGAAACAAAAUCCACAACCAACACACAUAUAAUGCAGAUGUUUCUGAAAAAACUAAAUAGUGUUAUCUUUAGUAUAUCAUUAAAAUAGUGGUUGUGGUUAAACAAACAAGCAAACAAAUUACUGCAACUCAUUUAUGAUAAGCUUACAAAAAGUAACAUUUUAAAGUUUCAUCUGGUGUGUUUGCACUGUAGGAAAAUAAAUCUGGAUGUGAGUAAGAUGUGCUUGACUGAAUAAAUGAAACCCCCAGUUAGCACUGGGUUAUGUUCCAGAGCAGUGCAUUCGUCCUCACUUAUUACUUCGGGAAUGUGUGAUCACAAUCCACCAGCUGCAGGUUUUAAUUUACUAAGAAAUGAAAGGAAUUAAUCCUGGUCCAUCCACUGCUUCCUCCCUUGUUUUACUAUCUUCAUUUUGACAUCAGGCACUUUGUGCCCAGGAUUGUGACAAUGCACAUUUACUAAAAAUGUAUCCAUUGAUAGAAUAAUUAUACUAAAUUAAUAAAGGAAGACGGUGUCUUCAUGUAGAAAACGGGGCACUAAAUUAUAAUUUUACAGUCACAACACAAGCUCCAGCUCUUCCUAGGCACAGUGGAGCAACCUAAAAAGGAAAAAGAGAUAUGUAUUGGAUCUGUAGGUUAAAAUGUCAACACUACUAUGCCAGUUGGUGAAAUAUUGAAACAGCCUGUACUUGUUGGCAAAGGGUUGUUGCCCUGGCCCCUGCUGUAUCAGCGCUGUUUCUGGCCUGGUCCCCUUCCCAAGAGCCACCUUCCAUGGCAAAGUUUCAUAGACUAAGUUGUUUUGGGUACAUCAUGAUUGUGUAGCAUUCAUUCUUCUUUAAAGGUGAUUUUUAAAACAGCUCAAGAAUUAAUCUACAUGAAACACUCUAUUUUAGCCAAAAUGAUACACAGUAUGGAUAUGAAGAAAUGCUGAACACUUACAGUAACUCUGUGACCAAUAUGGAGGAAAGAUCAAGUGUUAUCUAGAGAGGUCCUCUAACAGCCAUGCUAUCUCAGAGGUAGCACACAAAAUACUCUGAAUGCCUGGGGAUCUGCUUAUUCUAGAAGAACUCAUAACCUCACAUUUUUUGACUACCUUCUACGUGCAUGGCUGAAAAGUCUAAACCCAUUCUACUACUUUUUAGCAGACUAAAUAAAUAAUAAAUGCUACCCAUCCAACUCCCCUGGGAGUGGAAACAAACUCAGUGAAUGAGCUCUAUUACAGUGAGAUAGAAGUCAGGGGAGGGUUGCUAGGGGAAGGAAUGCAAUCUAAAUUUAUGGAUAAAGAACAAUUCUUAAAUCUUUCACCUCUUUUUUGAACAAUAGGAACUCUAGACACUGGGUAAUUCAUAGUGGAAAUAAAAGUGUGGACAAAAAUAGUUCUGAAGAAUUACUCUGAACACAGUAAGAAUCUAUGCAUUUGACCCAGGAGAGUUAAAAUGUUAACAUGGAUUCAGCGGGUGAGUAAUGCAAAGUACUAAGAAAGUUUGCUUUGUACUUAUAUAUGUUAGGGUAUGUACUAAAGUAUUUUUGUCAAAUGCCAAAAUGACUUCCUAAUCAGUUCGACCCCCUAGACCAAUGAGUAGAUUUUAAGAACAGGUCAGACUUCAGUUAUAAGAGAAUUCUCAGUAGUUCUCCAUCUGAAUCAGUUGUUUUGAUCACUGUAAGUCUCUUGGAACAAUCAACCUAUUUUAAAACCAUACUUAUUGAUAGCAUUAUCGAACUGACCUCAAAAAUCAUUUAUAUCAAAAUGUCAGUUUAUAAUUAGUAGCUCUUCUCAAAUCAUCCAAGACACUUAGUCUCUACAUUGUGAAUAGCUGACACUGUCAUGACAACUAGCUAGAAAGUGUAGCUUAGAGAAUUUGUUAAAUACAAUGCAAUCACCUCUUGCUUUGAGGUAAGGCUGGUAGUGAGGUGGGUAGUGGCUUAGGACUUUGUCAUCUCAUUUUAGUGCCUAUACAAAUGUCCAUCUGUCAGAACACUGAAAGGAAAACUUCAAAAUUUUUUUGUUUGUUUGGCUUGUUUUUGAGAUGGAGUCUUGCACUGUCACCCAGGCUGGAGUGCAAUGGCACAUCUCGGCUCACUGCAACCUCCACCUCCUGGGUUCAAGCAAUUCUCAUGCCGCAGCCUCCUGAGUAGCUGGGACUACUGGCACACACCACCAUACCUGGCUAAUUUUUUGUAUUUUAGUAGAGACAGGGCUUUACCAUGUUGCCCAGGCUGUCUCGAACUCCUGAGCUCAGGCAAACCACCUGCUUCGGCCUCCCAAAGUGCCGGGAUUACAGGGGUGAGCCACCAUGCCUGGCCCAGGAAAACUUUUAUUUUUCAGACACUAUGAUAACGAGUUCACAUUUUUAGGUGCUUUAACAUAGAGAGGUGGCUUGCAAGCAAAAUAGCUAUGUGGACACUGAUGAUCAAUUUUGAUAUGGGGUGAUUUAGCAUAAAGCAUUAAUUAUAAAUAAUAACAAGUCUCAAAUAACUGGCUGAUAGGUCUUAAAUCAUAUAUAUAACUGGACUUAGGGCUUAAAUACAUGUCAGAAAAAGAGAUUCUUAUCUUUCUGAGCUCCUUGGGUGUCAUUCACAACUAUUUUUGCCAUAGUGGGAAGCUGAUAUUAGGUAAUCAUCUAAUUUCCAAUGAAAUCUUGUAGCUCUCAAUCUUAUCCCUUCCUCCCUCCAUCAAGUGAUCUCACUUAAGAAACAGGAUAAAGCCCACACAAUCUAAGUCCUUUUCUUCUCUUUCUCUUCACUUAAAAACUCCCUGUACCUUUCUACACUCAAAUUCUCAUCUUUUCCCAAGCCUUGGAGGGUAAGAUCUUUCUUCUAGUCUGAGGGUGACCAGUCUGCUUUUUUUUUUUGAGAGGGAGUUUUGCUCUUGUCACCCAGGCUGGAGUGCAAUGGCGCGAUCUCGUCUCACCACAACCUCCGCCUACUGAGUUCAAACAAUUGUCCUGCCUCAGCCUCCUAA
This 10133-nucleotide long non-coding RNA is filed under the name Homo sapiens (human). RNAcentral describes it as "HSALNT0319255". Lineage: Eukaryota; Metazoa; Chordata; Mammalia; Primates; Hominidae. The record is from RNAcentral.